Molecule: unclassified non-coding RNA, 1436 nt
Filed under: uncultured fungus
Lineage: Eukaryota; Fungi
Description: sequence contains 18S rRNA gene, ITS1, 5.8S rRNA gene, ITS2, 28S rRNA gene
Rfam family: Eukaryotic large subunit ribosomal RNA (bases 459-1436)
Source: RNAcentral
GGAAGGAUCAUUAACAAAUCCAGUGGUUUGGCUCUUGUAUUGUGCCUAAUAAUUGCUGUGACCACAACAUAGCAUAACUAUAAAUAACUAUGUUGCGGCUGCAGCGAAUGUUGCACGUGCAGAUCCACGCACCAUAAGCCCCGCAUGCGCAAGCAUGUGUGACGCACAUUUUAUCGUCUGUCUGAACAGUUCAAUCUCUAAACAAACUUUUAACAACGGAUCUCUAGGCUCUUGCAUCGAUGAAGAACGCAGUGAAGUGCGAAAAGUAAUGCGAUUUGCAUGCUCUGUGAGUCAUCGAAUCUUUGAACGCAUAUGGCACCUUGCAGCUUGCUGGAAGGUAUGCCUGUUUGAGAAUCAUACACAACUGUCCUCUGUUGGGCCUUCACCAGUGAUCGCCUGCAAGCGCACAGUCGUUGUGUCAGUGACGCAAGUCUACCGCAUCGACUCUAAAAUCACCAUGAUCUCAAAUCAGGCAAGACUACCCGCUGAACUUAAGCAUAUCAGUAAGCGGAGGAAAAGAAACUAACAAGGAUUCCCUCAGUAACGGCGAGUGAAGCGGGAACAGCUCAAAUUUUAAAUCUGGCAGCAUCGCUGUCCGAGUUGUAGUUUCAAGACGCGCGUCCUGGCUGGAUGCGCCGGCGUACAAGUCUCCUGGAAUGGGGCAUCGCAGAGGGUGAGAAUCCCGUCUGGACGCUGGCGCGCUGGUCGCCGACGUGCGUCAAAGAGUCGAGUUGUUUGGGAAUGCAGCUCAAAAUGGGUGGUAAAUUUCAUCUAAGGCUAAAUACUGGCAAGAGACCGAUAGCGAACAAGUACCGUGAGGGAAAGAUGAAAAGCACCUUGAAAAGGGAGUUAAAUAGUGCGUGAAAUUGUUAAAAGGGAAACGAGUGGCGCCAGUAUUGCCGCAAGGCAAGCCAGCGACAGCUCUGGGCGCCGAAUAGGCUUGGCGGAAAGGUGGCGCAGCCUCGGCUGCGUUUUACAGUCCGCCUGUGCUGCGGCGCGCGGGGCCGUGGGGGCCGUCGUACCCUGUCGGGCGCAGCGGGCAAAGCGCGGUCAGACAGCACGCUGACUGACCGUGUUCAGCCCAAUCGUGCCCGGCAGCAGGCGGCAGGCUGGCGAGAUGGCGCCAAACGACCCGUCUUGAAACACGGACCAAGGAGUCUAACGUAUAUGCGAGUAUUUGAGUGGCAAACUCGGAUGCGCAACGAAAGUAAGCGGUGGGAGGUCAGUCCGCACCACCGGCCGAUCUUGAUUUCUUAUGAUAGAUUCGAGUCAGAGCAUAUCUGUUGGGACCCGAAAGAUGGUGAACUAUGCCUGAAUAGGGUGAAGCCAGAGGAAACUCUGGUGGAAGCUCGCAGCCGUUCUGACGUGCAAAUCGAUGGUCAAAUUUGGGUAUAGGGGCGAAAGACUAAUCGAACCAUCUAGUAGCUGGUUCCCUC